Molecule: ribosomal RNA, 253 nt
Filed under: uncultured bacterium
Lineage: Bacteria
Also listed under: 1 other name
Description: partial 16S ribosomal RNA
Rfam family: Bacterial small subunit ribosomal RNA
Source: RNAcentral
UACGGAGGGUGCAAGCGUUAUCCGGAUUCACUGGGUUUAAAGGGUGUGUAGGCGGAUAUUUAAGUCAGUGGUGAAAUCUCAAGGCUCAACCUUGAAACUGCCAUUGAUACUAUUUAUCUUGAAUAUCGUUGAGGUAGGCGGAAUAUAUCAUGUAGCGGUGAAAUGCUUAGAUAUGAUAUAGAACACCGAUUGCGAAGGCAGCUUGCUAAACGAUUAUUGACGCUGAGGCACGAAAGCGUGGGGAUCAAACAGG